RNAcentral lists this ribosomal RNA (396 nucleotides) under uncultured bacterium. RNAcentral describes it as "partial 16S ribosomal RNA". It matches the Rfam family "Bacterial small subunit ribosomal RNA", at positions 523 to 918 of the family's 1533-position model. The record is from RNAcentral.
AUACGUAGGGGGCGAGCGUUGUCCGGAAUGACUGGGCGUAAAGGGCGCGUAGGCGGCGGUGUAAGUCUGGAGUGAAAGUCCCGCAUUCAAUGUGGGAAUUGCUUUGGAUACUGCAGUGCUAGAGUGCGGAAGAGGUAAGUGGAAUUCCCAGUGUAGCGGUGAAAUGCGUAGAGAUUGGGAGGAACACCAGUGGCGAAGGCGACUACUGGGCCGUAACUGACGCUGAGGCGCGAAAGCGUGGGGAGCGAACAGGAUUAGAUACCCUGGUAGUCCACGCGGUAAACGAUGAAUGCUAGGUGUUGCGGGUAUCGACCCCUGCAGUGCCGGAGUAAACACAAUAAGCAUUCCGCCUGGGGAGUACGGCCGCAAGGUUGAAACUCAAAUGAAUUGACGGGG